Molecule: unclassified non-coding RNA, 398 nt
Filed under: Hevea brasiliensis (rubber tree)
Lineage: Eukaryota; Viridiplantae; Streptophyta; Magnoliopsida; Malpighiales; Euphorbiaceae
Source: RNAcentral
AUCAAUAUCAUCUUGUAAUCUUUCUGUCCACAUUAUGAUUUCAAAUUAAGAAAGCAUACUUCAUUAAAGAAAACUGAAAUUUUAGCAAAUUAGGAGUCAAUUUCAUCGGAUAAAAAAAUCCAAUAGAUUCCUUGACUUGACCCAAUGGAUUUUGCAGCUAGGAAGUCAGACAAUAGUUCCGACAAUAGAGAUGGGCAGAUUAGCGAUUAGAGAAGGGAUGGGAAGGGUAAGAUGCUAGAGAAAUCUAGAAAACUUGUAGGUCUAGAUUCGGGUCAAGAUCUGACCCAGUCAGAUCUUCUUUUUCUAGAAAGGUGCAAGUGAUAGGAAAGGCACCGGAAGGGUUGCUUGGAUGUUGCUGGUGGAUUGGCUGUGGUGGUGCUUGGGUUUGAUGGUCGGAU